This is a long non-coding RNA of Carassius auratus (goldfish), 224 nucleotides long. RefSeq lists it as uncharacterized. The record is from RefSeq and is a predicted model, not a curated record. NCBI's taxonomy places the organism in Eukaryota, Metazoa, Chordata, Actinopteri, Cypriniformes, Cyprinidae. The transcript has 3 exons.
AUGAAAACAAGAAACUCAAGCCCAACAGCUGCGCUGGCCGCCUGCAGCCUGACUGAAACCAGAGCCCAUCAUCUCCACUCUACUAGGGAUCAGCUGUGCGAGUGCCACAUUUUUGCAGCUGUCCCCAGAUGUUUACACUCACGAUGGAUGACUGACAGUGAAAGCUUGUCAUCGCGGCUGUGACACAGUCAACGUGAAAGGAAACGAAAGACAACAAUGGCAAC